RNAcentral lists this ribosomal RNA (497 nucleotides) under uncultured bacterium. RNAcentral describes it as "partial 16S ribosomal RNA". It matches the Rfam family "Bacterial small subunit ribosomal RNA", at positions 28 to 507 of the family's 1533-position model. The record is from RNAcentral.
GAUGAACGCUGGCGGCGUGCCUAAUACAUGCAAGUCGAGCGAACAGAUAAGGAGCUUGCUCCUUUGACGUUAGCGGCGGACGGGUGAGUAACACGUGGGUAACCUACCUAUAAGACUGCGAUAACUUCGGGAAACCGGAGCUAAUACCGGAUAACAUUUGGAACCGCAUGGUUCUAAAGUGAAAGAUGGUUUUGCUAUCACUUAUAGAUGGACCCGCGCCGUAUUAGCUAGUUGGUAAGGUAACGGCUUACCAAGGCGACGAUACGUAGCCGACCUGAGAGGGUGAUCGGCCACACUGGAACUGAGGCACGGUCCAGACUCCUACGGGAGGCAGCAGUAGGGAAUCUUCCGCAAUGGGCGAAAGCCUGACGGAGCAACGCCGCGUGAGUGAUGAAGGGUUUCGGCUCGUAAAACUCUGUUAUUAGGGAAGAACAAAUGUGUAAGUAACUGUGCACGUCUUGACGGUACCUAAUCAGAAAGCCACGGCUAACUACGUG